Molecule: unclassified non-coding RNA, 240 nt
Filed under: soil metagenome
Description: partial contains 5.8S ribosomal RNA, internal transcribed spacer 2, and large subunit ribosomal RNA
Source: RNAcentral
AACACUGUUAACCUGCGGUACCUGCGGAAGGAUCAUUACCGAGUUUACAAACUCCCAACCCUAUGUGAACCUUACCAAUCGUUGCUUCGGCGGGCUUAGCCCCCGCGCCCUCGCCGGCGCCGGGAGAAAGGCGCCCGCCGGGGACCCCAAACCCAAUGUUUUUCAUGCAGUAUUUCUGAGUGGCAAACGCAAAAAUAAAUCAAAACUUUCAACAAUGGAUCUCAGAUCGGAAGAGCACAC